This 1612-nucleotide long non-coding RNA is filed under the name Anser cygnoides (Swan goose). RNAcentral describes it as "lncRNA (ENSACDG00005013962.1)". Lineage: Eukaryota; Metazoa; Chordata; Aves; Anseriformes; Anatidae. The record is from RNAcentral.
NNNNNNNNNNNNNNNNNNNNNNNNNNNNNNNNNNCCCCCCCCCCGGGUCCCCAUUGAGUCCAGGUCCCAGUGCCAGGUCCCCGUGUCCCCAGGGUGUCCCAGUGCCCAUGUGCUGGGGUCCGCUGAUCUGCGGGUCCCCAUGUCCCUGUGUCCCCGUGUCCCCAUGGUGCCAGGUCCCGAGGUCUUGGGGUCCCGAUGUCCCCAGUGCCAGGUCCCCAUGUCCCCAGAUCCGCAGGUCCCCGUGGUGCCAGGUCCCCAGGUCCUGAGGUUUCAGGGUCCCCAUGUCCCCAGUGCCAGGGUCCCCCCGUCCCCACGGAGCCAGGUCCCCAUCCCCAAAUCCGCAGGUUCUGUUGGCGCCAGGUCCCCGUGUCCCUGUGUCUCAGGGUCCCCAGGUCCCCAAGUCCCCGUGUCCCCAGGUCCCCAAGUCCCCGUGUCCCCAGGUCCUUGUGUCCCCAGGUCUCAGGGUCCUCAUGUCCCCAGAUCCACAGGUCCUCAUCUUGCCGGGUCCUGAGGUCUCGGUGUCCCCAGGUCCCCAGUGCCAGGUCCCCAUGUCCCCAGCUCCCCAUGGAGCCAGGUCCCCAUGUCCCCAAAUCCCCAGGUUCUGUUGGUGCCAGGUCCCCAUGUCCCCAGGUUUCAGGGUCCCCAUGUCCCCAGGUCCCCAUAUCCCCCGGUCUCAGGGUCCCCGUGUCCCCAGGUCUUGGGGUCCCUGUUUCCCCAGGUUCCUGCGUCCUCAGGUCUUGGGGUCCCCAUGUCCCCAGUUCCCAUGUCCCCAUGCCCCCAUGCCCCCAUGUCCCCAGGUCUCGGGGUCCCCAUGUCCCCGUGUCCCCAGCCCCGUCCCGGGGGUGCCCUCGCCCAGCCCGGGGGCAGCGGGGCUGCGAGUGGCCGCUGGCCGGACGCCGCUAAGAGGCUUCCGCGGGCGCUUGGCCCUAAUCCGCCUGGCGUCACCGCCACCGCCGCCGUCACCGCUACUGCCGCUGCUGCUACUGCUGCUACUGCCGCUGCUGCUACUGCUGCUGCUGCUGCUAUUGCUACUGCCGCUGCCACUGCUACUGCCACUGUCACCAUCACCAUUACCGUCACCAUUACUGCCACUGCCACCGCCACUGCCACUGCUGCCACUGCUGCUACUGCUGCUACUGCUGCUGUCACCAUCACCAUUACUGUCACUGCUACCGCCACCGCUGCUGCCACUGCCACCACUACUGCCACUGCUACUGCUACUGCCACUGCCACCAUCACCGCUACUGCCACCACUACUGCCGCUGCCACCACUACUGCCACUGCUACUGCUACUGCCACUGCCACCAUCACCGCUACUGCUACCACUACUGCCGCUGCCACCAGUACUGCCACCACUACUGCCACUGCCACCAGUACUGCCACCACUACUGCCACUGCUACCACUACUGCCGCUGCCACUGCUACUGCUACUGCUACUGCCACCGCCACCACUGCUGCCACCGUUACCGUCACCACCGCUACCUGGGGACCCAGGUGGCAAGGGGGGGGGCCGGGGGUGUGCCGCGUCUCGGGGCCUCCCCGCGCGUGUGUGAACCCCCCCGUGGCACGGGCUGGGCCACCUUGCACACGCGUCCCCCCCCUUGCACGCUCG